ACUUGGGUUAAUCUGGAGGACAUCAUGCUAGGGGAAAUAAGCCAGACAGAGAAGGACAAAUACUAGAGAAUGCCACUUACACGAGGAAUCUAAAAUAGCCAAGCUCAGGGAAGAAGAGAGUAGGUGGCGGCUGCCGGGGGCUGAGCAAAGUGGAAAUGGAGAGGUAUUAGUCAAAGGGCACAGAGUCUCAGUUACUCAAGGUGCAUAAGUCCCAGAGACCUGCUGCACAGCCUCUGGCAAUACUGCCUGGCUGUGAUCUUUGCUCAGAGGGUAAAUCUUAAGUAUUCUUAUCACACGCACACACACACACACAAAAUGGUAAAUAAAAAGGGCAGAGGAAACUUUUGGAGGCGACAGAUAUGUUUAUGGCGUAGAUUGUGGUGACGGUUUCACAGAUGUGUGCAUAUCUACAAAGUCAUCAAAUUAUAUGUGUUAAAUAUGUACAGCUUCUGUUUGUCAAUUAUACCUCAAUAAUGUGGUUUAAAAAUAAGUAAGAGUGGGUGGAGAGAAAACUGCCUUGGUCUAGAAGCUUCCGCAGGCUCAUGGACAAGGCAACUGGGCCACUUUUACAAUCCAUGUCGAGUGAGCAAAGCUGGCAUAGGAUGAUACAAACUGUCAUUUUAACUAUAUUAAAAAAUGGAUAGAAUACAAAGUACAAGAGGAAACAUAAAAAUAUUACAGUGAUUACCCCCAGGCAGUGGGAUUACAGAUGGUUUUUACUUGUUUUUCUUAAGCUUUCCUGUAUUUUUUUCACACAAGACAAACAAUAGAGGUGAUUUCAGAAUCUGAAUUUGUGCCAGUCAUACUGAUUAGUUGCAGACGACAGAAUCCACUCUUUCUGGGUUGAGCAGAGGGGAAUCUGUUCAUGGGUGCUAGGACUGAGAUGCCAGGAUGACCAGGGGACCAAGCUUGGAUGCCCCAUGGCCAGGGACAACACUAACAAUCACUAAGCCCGCCCAGGCCUGUUGCCGUGGAAACCCCACUGCCUGUGAUGCUCGGGCCCAGACCCUGGAGCAUGCUGCUGUGGGAGAACCAGACCCUCUGUUCCCUGCCAGCUGGGAGCCCCAUCCUCCACCACCUUGGGGGGCUCACUUCCACCUUUUAAGUCUCAGGCUGGCAUCUGUCCAGAGGAGCUGAGGCCACUGGCAGAACCCCUAGCUGCAAGGGAGUCAAGGAACUGUAGAUUUCAGUUUUUCCAGAGACUUCCAUGUGGCCAAGCACAGAAGGAGGGGCUGGCACACGUGUUGAGUGAGUCAGCCUGCAGGGUCCACUGGAGAAGUGAAAUAAGAAUGACAAAAAUGAUCACUUGCACCCUUGACCUUCUGAAGGCCACGUGAAGGCUCAGUUAUCCGUUGUGUUACAGUGAGGACAGCAGGAGGCUCUCUCUUGGUCCCGGGAGCACUGGCUCUCAGAGCCCCUCACCCCAGCCUCUGCAGUGCACGCUGGCCUGACUUCCACCCAACAGCACUUCUCUGCCUGGGGACUUUCCUUACUGCUGGAGACUCCUUAGCCCCCUGGGUGACAGGCUCAUAUGUGGAGACUUGCUGUCCCCCAGGACACCUUCAGCCGCUACCCCAGCUGCCUUACCCCUUAGUUGAGAGAGCUCUGAACAGUGUGCUCUGCCCCAGCUGCCAGGGCUCCCUGGAGGACCAGGCUCCUGUUGCCCCCAGUGGUGGGUGUCCAGAGUGGGGCACAGUGGUGGGCAGCUUGGUAGUAGCCGUUGCUAGCCACCAUCUCUUCCCUCCCUUCCUGACCCUCCUGCCUUCGUCUCCCAGAUAAACUCCUGCUCCAGAAUCCUUCUCUCCAUGUCUGUCUGGCAUCGCAAAAGCUGAGGUAUCCAUGGCCUAAGCAUGUGCGCAUGGAAAGCCUCAUCCUGGCUCUGGAAGUCCUGCUGGGGACAGUCCUCUGGGCCGUGAGUUAACAGGUGUGAGGCUGCUUCUGUGACCUCAUACCUGUACAUUCCAGUUUGGAAGGUCGUCCUGUUCCUGGUUCUCAUCCUCAUGGGCAGGAAACCCCUUGGGUCCAGGACACUCAACUGCACGAUGCCCCACCCCUGCUGAGGCCAGGACCACGUGUGCACACAGGCAUCAUCCACCCCAGGGUUCUGCCCGGCCCCUCUCCGCCUCUCCUCCCUAUGUCAUUCAGUGCUCCCUCUGCCCUAGGACUGGCGAUGAUGCUCCAUGGCGUUCAAGGGCAUCCUCUGAAUGUGCCGUCCUUGGUUUAAAUGGGACUCUGCUGUGUGUUGCUGUUAGCAUGUGAGGUUGGAGCCAGCUUUGUCCUGGGUUCACACAACAAACAUUCCCCUGGAGCCUGCUCUGCUCGGUGCCCGAGGAUGCUGACUGUGGGGCUUGGAGAUGCGUCCUCUACUACAGAGACAUGGGACAUCCCAGAACCAUGAGGCUCCUGGUUUGCUGCAUUGCUGCACCUCGGCCAUUUCUCAAGGAGCCUCUGUGUUGUCUUGGCACUGGGGACCCUACGGUGAACCUAACAAAUCUCUUGUCCUCACCGGGGCUUCCUUCUAACAAGGAAGGCAGAGACCGUAACCAGAGGGCAAGGAGACAGCACAAGUUUCUGCCGGCCAUUCCCGUCAUCUGUCACCUGCCCGUGCAGGGGGCUGUGUGGCAGGCACCGAUGCCCACUCGGAAUCGCUGGACAGGAGUCCAGUGCCCUUCCAGAACAAGAGCUUUCCAUUCAGGCAGCUGGAACACGCAUCCUGGGAAGUCCCUGCUUUGGGGCUUAUGUGCUGCUGGCGAGAGCACGGGGAGAUGGGCGCUGCCAGGGGAGGCUGGCAGUCCACCUGUGACAACGGGCCUGGGUGUUCGAGGAGCAAAGUGGGGACUCUCUCCCCCUUUUAAAAAAUGAUAACCCAUCACUUUUGUGAACAACAGCUCAUUUUUUCCAUUUAAAAGUUGUGACAUGCACUCAGAAGACACAAUAAAAUAUAUACUCAUUCAUGUGUGUGUGUGUGUGCGUGUGUACAGUUUAAAGAUCCAUGUAGCCGUCUGCAUUCUCCACCCACCUCAGUGAAUAGGACAUUUGCAGCCACCCAGGAGCGCUCGUGGCUCUCCUGAUGCCAGCCCCUCUCCUGGGGUGACCGGUGCCCUGACUUUGGUGACAGUUGUGUCCUUGUUUGGCCUCAUACUCUCCCUCCCCGGGGGACACCCUCAGAAGAGGCGUGGUGUUUUGCCCAUUUUUCUUCGUUCAUGUACAUUGUAGUGUGCGCCCUCUUUGGGGACUGGUUGCCUGGGCGGCUCACUUGGCCGCUGGGGGCAGCCAGGGCGCAUGUGUUCCUGUGGCUGUUUGGUGUCCCUUGUGUGGACAGGCCACUUUCAUCCACUGUCCCUUUGAGACACACGCACCCAUUCCAGCUCGGAGCUCCGGGAGCACACCACCCCAGGCCGUGUCCCACACUUCACUGGUAUUUACCCCUGGGAGCAGAACUUGGGGGUCAAAGGUGCUCUGACCUUGCUGGGCAGGCCGCUCUCUUUUCUGAAACAGAGCACUUGUGUGUGCCAGGUCCCGUGCUGAGCCCAGGGAGGGGCAGAGCCUCCAGGAGAGUCUGCAGACCGGCCUGUGUGGGGGGGCGGGGGGUGGCUGCUGCUCAGAGAGGGAUGGACUGGGGGAGGCCUGGCCCAGUGUGUGGAGGGCGGUCAGCCAUGCCCCCCGCGUUAGAGAGGCAGUUACUGAGAGUGACCGAUGGCCGAGGGGAGUGACAAUGGCAGAUGUUAACUGCGUGGAUGUUCCAGGCAGGAGCAGGGUGGGCAGGGGCUUUGAGGCUGGGGGCCUCUGUCAGCUCAGCGGCCACAACAGAGGGCCACAGCGGGGCCGCGUGAACAACACAGGUUCACUUUCCCACAGCUCUGGACCCUGCAAGUCCCAGUCGGCAUCUGGCAGGGUGGGUUCCUGGGGGCCCCUCCUCCUGGCUGGCGCUUCUCCCCCGUCCUCGUCCUCGUGUGGCAGAGAGAGAGCUGUCGUGUCCCUUCCUCUGGUCAGGGCACUGGUCCUACUGAGUUCGGGCCCCAGCCUCAUGGCCUCAUUUAGCCUUUACACCUCCUCACAGGCCCUGUCUCCAGACACAGCCACACUGGGGCUUAGGGCUCCUACCUAGGAAUUGGAGGGGGACCACAGACGUUCAGUCAGGAACGGGGCGAGGGGAAUUUGAGGAACGAGUGUGCAUAGAGCAAGGGCUUGAGAGGGUGGUUUGGUUAUCUGUCCUUGUGGAAUAAACCCGCCCUAAACUUAGUGGUUUAAAAGGAGAAUCAUCGUUUACCCAAGACUUCACAGUUGGGCAGGGCCCAGGGGGGACAGCCCCUCUCCACCCUCUGUGACACGAGCUGAGGCCUUGCUCACAAUGCUGACAAGUUGGUGCUGGCGGACAGCUGGGAGCUCGGUGGGGCUGAUGGCCAGAGACCGAUGGCCAGGGGCCUUGGUCCUCCUCCAUGUGGCCGCAUGGGCUUCCUCACAGUGUGGUGGCUGGUUUCUAAGAGUGAGAAAGUGAAAGUUGCCGGUACUUUCCAGGGUUGGAUCUGAACCUGGCAGGAGUGCCAUUCCUGCCAUCGAAGAAGUCACAGCGUCCAGGUACAGCUACUGGCCAUUCAUAUCACAGACCUCGUCUUUUUUUUUUUUUUUGAAUAAAAAUGAUGUAUAAGGCAUAUAACGUGUUUCGGCAUACAGAUCCAUAGUGAAGUGGUUGCUGCGAUAAAGCUAAUUAACACGUCCGUCUCCUCACAUCUCUCUUCUUUUCAUGCUGCAAGCACCUGAAGUCUAUGCUUAGCAAAUUUCCAGCAUAUGAGAAGAUGUGGUUAACUCUAGUCGUUGUGCUGCACAUUUAAUCUCCAGACUUAUGUACCCUCCCUAACGGCCGUGUGUGCCCUUUGACCUCGCUCCCCCAUUUCCCCCACCCAGCCCUACUGAUCACACAGACCUCGUCUUCUCUCGGCCACGUGCUGCAGGAAAUGUGCCCCCUUUUAUGUUGGGCAUCACCUCCUGGGCUAUAGAUCUUCAUGUCCUUGAAGCACACAUUGGCCAGCUCUUUCCCCAAAUCGUUAAGACACGGGGCAGGAGCACACCAAAGCUGUGAAAGUCAGGGCCCGCUGUCCCAAAUGCCACCAUCUGUGGCUCGUUCCUCUGUGGCCAGUGCACAGGACUCUCCAUGGCUGGAGUUGCAGUCGAGUGUGUUUUUUCUGGAGUGGGGUCCAUGGCUUUGAUCAGAUGCUCUGAUGUCACCCAGAGAAGGGGUGCCGUGAUCGUGACCACGGAUCUGAUCAGACACCCUUCAGAGAAGACAUAGAGCAUCGUAUGACCGCUCCCCACCCGCCACUCAGCAGGAGCCCAGUAGUGCAUGCAUCCAAAUUCACUCACUCUUGUGUUUUUUCAACUUUUUCUUGUGGAAAAUUUCAGAUAUUCACAAAAGUAGGCAAAACAGUAUAAUGACCACCCCCUCCCCAUGUGCCCAACUUCAACAAUUAUCAGCUCAUAGCUAAUCUUAUCUAUCCCCCUUCCUCCUUUCCCCUUUCAUUUUUUCUUCAACUUUUUUAAAGACUAGAGCACACCCUGAAGACUGCUUAUGUCCUAAGUGUGCACAGAGUGAGUUUUCACUCUGUGAGCUCACCUGGUAAAGAUUCUGGUACCCAAUUCUGACAUGUGUUUGCGGGGGAAGUGUUCCUACAUCACCAAGCAAUUCGCUGACACUUGAAAAUUCCCUGACAAUUCCACUCAAUUCUGACCCUCUCUGCUGGAGCCAGCAUCAGAUGCCACAGG
Long non-coding RNA from Equus caballus (horse), 5760 nucleotides. RefSeq lists it as uncharacterized. The record is from RefSeq and is a predicted model, not a curated record. Lineage: Eukaryota; Metazoa; Chordata; Mammalia; Perissodactyla; Equidae.